RNAcentral lists this transfer RNA (69 nucleotides) under Rattus norvegicus (Norway rat). It matches the Rfam family "tRNA". From Rfam's summary of the family: Transfer RNA (tRNA) molecules are approximately 80 nucleotides in length. Their secondary structure includes four short double-helical elements and three loops (D, anti-codon, and T loops). Further hydrogen bonds mediate the characteristic L-shaped molecular structure. tRNAs have two regions of fundamental functional importance: the anti-codon, which is responsible for specific mRNA codon recognition, and the 3' end, to which the tRNAs corresponding amino acid is attached (by aminoacyl-tRNA synthetases). tRNAs cope with the degeneracy of the genetic code in two manners: having more than one tRNA (with a specific anti-codon) for a particular amino acid; and 'wobble' base-pairing, i.e. permitting non-standard base-pairing at the 3rd anti-codon position. The record is from Rfam by way of RNAcentral. Lineage: Eukaryota; Metazoa; Chordata; Mammalia; Rodentia; Muridae.
GGGGAUUUAGCUCAGCGGUAGAGCGCUUGCCUAGCAAGCGUGAGGCCCUGGGUUCGGUCCCCAGCUCCG